GGCGGCAUGCCUAAUACAUGCAAGUCGAGCGAAUGACGAAGAAGCUUGCUUCUUCUGAUUUAGCGGCGGACGGGUGAGUAACACGUGGGCAACCUGCCCUGUAGAUUGGGAUAACUCCGGGAAACCGGGGCUAAUACCAAAUAAUCCAUUUCCUCACAUGUGGAAAUGUUAAAAGACGGUUUCGGCUGUCACUACAGGAUGGGCCCGCGGCGCAUUAGCUAGUUGGUAGGGUAACGGCCUACCAAGGCGACGAUGCGUAGCCGACCUGAGAGGGUGAUCGGCCACACUGGGACUGAGACACGGCCCAGACUCCUACGGGAGGCAGCAGUAGGGAAUCUUCCACAAUGGACGAAAGUCUGAUGGAGCAAUGCCGCGUGAGUGAAGAAGGUUUUCGGAUCGUAAAACUCUGUUGUAAGGGAAGAACAAGUACGAGAGUAACUGCUCGUACCUUGACGGUACCUUAUUAGAAAGCCACGGCUAACUACGUGCCAGCAGCCGCGGUAAUACGUAGUGGCAAGCU
This 520-nucleotide ribosomal RNA is filed under the name forest soil bacterium 4S2.C9. RNAcentral's name for it is "bacterial SSU rRNA". It matches the Rfam family "Bacterial small subunit ribosomal RNA", at positions 38 to 539 of the family's 1533-position model. The record is from RNAcentral.